This 742-nucleotide ribosomal RNA is filed under the name uncultured bacterium. RNAcentral's name for it is "bacterial SSU rRNA". It matches the Rfam family "Bacterial small subunit ribosomal RNA", at positions 8 to 796 of the family's 1533-position model. The record is from RNAcentral.
AGAGUUUGAUCAUGGCUCAGAGCGAACGCUGGCGGCAGGCCUAAUACAUGCAAGUCGAGCGGUCCCUUCGGGGGCAGCGGCGGACGGGUGAGUAACGCGUGGGAACGUGCCCUUUGGUACGGAACAACUGAGGGAAACUUCAGCUAAUACCGUAUGUGCCCUUCGGGGGAAAGAUUUAUCGCCAUUGGAGCGGCCCGCGUUGGAUUAGGUAGUUGGUGAGGUAAAGGCUCACCAAGCCUACGAUCCAUAGCUGGUCUGAGAGGAUGAUCAGCCACACUGGGACUGAGACACGGCCCAGACUCCUACGGGAGGCAGCAGUAGGGAAUCUUGCGCAAUGGGCGAAAGCCUGACGCAGCCAUGCCGCGUGAAUGAUGAAGGUCUUAGGAUUGUAAAAUUCUUUCACCGGGGACGAUAAUGACGGUACCCGGAGAAGAAGCCCCGGCUAACUUCGUGCCAGCAGCCGCGGUAAUACGAAGGGGGCUAGCGUUGCUCGGAAUUACUGGGCGUAAAGGGAGCGUAGGCGGAUAGUUUAGUCAGAGGUGAAAGCCCAGGGCUCAACCUUGGAAUUGCCUUUGAUACUGGCUAUCUUGAGUAUGGAAGAGGUAUGUGGAACUCCGAGUGUAGAGGUGAAAUUCGUAGAUAUUCGGAAGAACACCAGUGGCGAAGGCGACAUACUGGUCCAUUACUGACGCUGAGGCUCGAAAGCGUGGGGAGCAAACAGGAUUAGAUACCCCGGUAGUCC